AUGGCCAUGGCCGGGUCGAGGAGGGUCUCCGUGUGGAUGUCCUAUUGGGGACUUUUGAUGGUUUCCUGCAGAACUUCAAUCUCCAGUCCGACAGUUUUAGAGCCUAUCUACUGGAAUUCCUGGAACUCCAGAUUUCUACCUGGACAAGGCCUGGUACUACACCCACAGAUAGGAGACAAAUUGGAUAUUAUUUGCCCAAAAGUGGACUCUAAAACUGUUGGCCAGUAUGAGUAUUAUAAAGUUUAUAUGGUUGAUAAAGACCAAGCAGACAGAUGCAUUAUUAAGACGAAGAAAAAAAAUCCCUGCUCAACUGUUCCCGACCACACCGAGAUGUGAAAUUUACCAUCAAGUUUCAAGAAUUCAGCAACAGCAUCUGGGGUUUAGAAUUUCAGAAGAACAAAGAUUAUUACAUCAUAUCUACAUCCAAUGGGUCUUUGGAAGGCCUGCAUAACCAAGAGGGAGGGGUGUGCAAGACAAGAGCCAUGAAGAUCAUCAUGAAAGUUGGACAAGGAAUCAUAUCAGGAUGCAUCGUCUUCAUCGUCAUCAUCAUCACCUUGGUGGUACUGCUGCUCAAGCACCGCAGGAGGCACUGCAAACACUCUCCACAGCAAAGUACCACAGCCAAGCGAGGUGGCAACAACUAUGGCUGGGAACCCAGUGAUGUUCUCAUACCGCUAAGGACUGCAGACAGUGUCUUCCGCCCACACUAUGAGAAGGUCAGCGGAGACUAUGGGGACCCAGUGUACAUCGUACAGGAGAUACCCACACAGAGUCCUGCCGACAUUUACCACAAGGGCUCUGCAACACCUCCCCAGACCCCUCACUCCACAUCCCGUAUCAUUAAGGGACACUCACCACUGAGCCCUGGCCCCAUCUUUUACACCAAGAUGAGAUUAAAUGGGUAUUAUGUACAGAAAUCUGCUUUCCUGGAAGCUUGGGUGGGUUUGCUGGGAAAAGCCUGGGAGGUGUGGUCCAGUGAGGAAGGUUCUGGCUGCGACCGCAGGUGGAGCAUAGUGGGGAAAGCAAGAAGGAAACAAUAUAUAGUGCUUGGGUUUGCUGAGAGGAAAGAGGAGAGUGGGAGACUACAGACUUUGGUGAGUGGUGGUGAGCUCACUAUCACAGCUAUGCAACUAGGAAUCAAAGGCCCUUUCCUGAAGUGGAACAAAGGGGCCUUUGUUAUAAAAGGACUAGCCAGAUUUCAGAUGGAAAGGACAGAUCUUUGGGGCAGGAUUAUUGAAGUACUGGCAAUAAAAAAAACACAGCCCUGGAUCUGCGGGAGAGUCUGUCUUUUUGGGAGAUGGUUUAAGCAGACUCAGCUUCUGUAUUACCACAUUUUAAUCACCACAGGGAAAAACCUUUUAGGACAACAGCAGAGAGCCAAAUCUGACCUCGAAUUUGAAAAUACAAAGGUCAAACAGGCUGUAAGUCCAUCACCACUGAGGAUAUAG
Cricetulus griseus (Chinese hamster) is the source of this 1448-nucleotide non-coding RNA. The record is from RefSeq and is a predicted model, not a curated record. NCBI's taxonomy places the organism in Eukaryota, Metazoa, Chordata, Mammalia, Rodentia, Cricetidae.